Molecule: transfer RNA, 72 nt
Filed under: Phrynosoma platyrhinos (Desert horned lizard)
Lineage: Eukaryota; Metazoa; Chordata; Lepidosauria; Squamata; Phrynosomatidae
Description: tRNA-OTHER
Source: RNAcentral
UGUGGUAUGGUGCAGUGGUUUGAGCAUUUGACUAUGACUCUGGAGACCAGGGUUCAAAUCCCCACUCAGCCA